CUACGCACUCCUACGGGAGGCAGCAGUGGGGAAUAUUGCACAAUGGGCGCAAGCCUGAUGCAGCCAUGCCGCGUGUAUGAAGAAGGCCUUCGGGUUGUAAAGUACUUUCAGCAGUGAGGAAGGUGGGUAUGUUAAUAGCAUAUUCAUUUGACGUUAGCUGCAGAAGAAGCACCGGCUAACUCCGUGCCAGCAGCCGCGGUAAUACGGAGGGUGCGAGCGUUAAUCGGAAUUACUGGGCGUAAAGCGCAUGCAGGUGGUUGUUAAGUCAGAUGUGAAAGCCCGGGGCUCAACCUCGGAAUUGCAUUUGAAACUGGCAAACUAGAGUACUGUAGAGGGGGUAGAAUUUCAGGUGUAGCGGUGAAAUGCGUAGAGAUCUGAAGGAAUACCGGUGGCGAAGGCGGCCCCCUGGACAGAUACUGACACUCAGAUGCGAAAGCGUGGGGAGCAAACAGGAUUAGAUACCCUGGUAG
Molecule: ribosomal RNA, 470 nt
Filed under: uncultured bacterium
Lineage: Bacteria
Description: bacterial SSU rRNA
Rfam family: Bacterial small subunit ribosomal RNA
Source: RNAcentral